UCCCUGUGAACAUCAUGAAUGUGCUCGUUUACAUCUCACCUGGCGUACCACAAGCUGAGGCAGGACCUGAAGGGGUUCUGCUAAUGCCAGGGCAGUUUGGAUCAAAUACCGAAAUAGCUUUAGCUGCUGUGCAAAAGUAUGCUUUCCGCUGGCAGUGCGUUUAAUAGCUUGCAUUGGUUUAUUUACAUGUGUGUUCUGGCAUCUACUGUAUUGCCUGUGUCUUUGCAUUUUUGUGCCUAACUGUGCCUCUGUGGGUUUAUCUCUAUGCAGAUGACCAGUGUCCAUGUGAAAUUGUACCACUUGGAUGCAUUCACAAUCAAUAUCUAGAUCAGUGGCUGAUCCUGUGGAAAUGUAUGGUCCCUAGACAUAGGUGAGCUGCAGAACUGAGGUGACUUGUCCCUGCUCACAUGCAAAGCUGAAGGCAGAGCCGGGGACGGGAUGCAGAUCUCCAGCAUGCCUAGUGCGCUGUUAGCCCAUGAAACUCCUCAGCACAACAAUUUGAUGAGGCCAUGAUCUUGGAGAGAUACCAAAAGAGAUGGGCUAUUUCAGAUGGAUCACAAGGAAAGCCUGAAUUAUAAAGAAAACGACUUCAUCUGCUGCAUCAAUAUCGCUUUGCAGAGGACAAGGCUGUUGGGUGCGACGUGCCGAGUCACGUCGAAGAAUACCUACCCCUUCUGCUGCCCUGGCUGGCCCUUUGGUGUAGGUAUUGCCUAGCGGCAGUGCCUCCUGCUGAUGCUGCUGGGACACUACCCUUAGCCAAGCUGUGGACAUGGGAGCAGUGCUCUGCUGUGCCAGGCCCUGGACAAACACAAAGUGAGAGCCUGUCCUGGCCUGAGUGGUCUCACUGUCUGCAGAGACGGGCGCGAAAACGCAGACACAAGCCUGGGGCCAUGUAUAANNNNNNNNNNNNNNNNNNNNUUCCUGCUGCUCCAGCCCUGUUGCUGCAAGGAAGGGUGAGGACCACAUUGUGUUGGUAGCCUGGCUUUCCUCACUGCUCCCCUCCGGUGCUGGGCUCGCUGGCAUGGCUCCGCCACAGGGCAGGUGCUCCCGGGUACCUCAGAGCACAACAGAUCCGUCCACGUUACUGGAGCACUUCUCUGGACUCUUGCUGACCACGGUGAGAGCCAGGGCGUGACCUGCCGGGGAUGGCCACCUCCCCUCUUUCAGUGCAAGGCUUCUUUUUGCAAGAUCAAAGUGGAGGGAGUGUGCCAGAACCUGCCAAACUGCUGCUGGGGAGACUGACGGGGAGUGACAGAGCCUGAAACUGUCUGGCAGAUUGUUUGUUUAAUGGGGGAAAAUGUUUUCCUGACACUGCAGAGCACUUUGAAUAGCAAACGAUGUCAAUAACACACGUUCACCUGUUCCUACCAUGGAUUUCUUCUCCCUCCUACGCCGUCCCUUUAGUGUGAGACUCCAUUAGUGCCCAGACUGCCGCCAGCCAAACGCUGCGAGCACGUGGCUGAUUUGCCAAUCAG
This 1475-nucleotide long non-coding RNA is filed under the name Struthio camelus australis. RNAcentral describes it as "lncRNA (ENSSCUG00000006490.1)". Lineage: Eukaryota; Metazoa; Chordata; Aves; Struthioniformes; Struthionidae. The record is from RNAcentral.